CCUACGGGAGGCAGCAGUGAGGAAUAUUGGUCAAUGGGCGGAAGCCUGAACCAGCCAAGUCGCGUGAGGGAAUAAGGCCCUACGGGUCGUAAACCUCUUUUGCCGGGGAGCAAGGGCGGGGACGUGUCCCGGCCCGGAGAGUACCCGGAGAAAAAGCAUCGGCUAACUCCGUGCCAGCAGCCGCGGUAAGACGGAGGAUGCGAGCUUUAUCCGGUUUUAUUGGGUUUAAAGGGUGCGUAGGCGGGCUUUUAAGUCAGCGGUAAAGAUUCGGGGCUCAACGCCGCCCGGUCGUUGACACUGGGGGGCUUGAGUGGGCGAGAAGAAGGCGGAAUGCGUGGUGUAGCGGUGAAAUGCAUAGAUAUCACGCAGAACCCCGAUUGCGAAGGCAGCCUUCCGGCGCCCUACUGACGCUGAGGCACGAAAGUGCGGGGAUCGAACAGGAUUAGAUACCCCUGUAGUC
Molecule: ribosomal RNA, 460 nt
Filed under: uncultured bacterium
Lineage: Bacteria
Description: partial 16S ribosomal RNA
Rfam family: Bacterial small subunit ribosomal RNA
Source: RNAcentral